Molecule: ribosomal RNA, 253 nt
Filed under: uncultured bacterium
Lineage: Bacteria
Description: partial 16S ribosomal RNA
Rfam family: Bacterial small subunit ribosomal RNA
Source: RNAcentral
UACAGGGGGGGCAAGCGUUGUUCGGAAUUACUGGGCGUAAAGGGCCCGUAGGCGGCCAACUAAGUCCGACGUGAAAUCCCCAGGCUUAACCUGGGAACUGCGUCGGAUACUGGAUGGCUUGAAUCCGGGAGAGGGAUGCGGAAUUCCAGGUGUAGCGGUGAAAUGCGUAGAUAUCUGGAGGAACACCGGUGGCGAAGGCGGCAUCCUGGACCGGCAUUGACGCUGAGGAGCGAAAGCCAGGGGAGCAAACGGG